CCUACGGGUGGCAGCAGUGGGGAAUAUUGGACAAUGGGCGAAAGCCUGAUCCAGCCAUGCCGCGUGUGUGAAGAAGGCCUUCGGGUUGUAAAGCACUUUCAGUGGGGAAGAAAGCCUUGGGGCUAAUACCCUCGAGGAAGGACAUCACCCACAGAAGAAGCACCGGCUAACUCCGUGCCAGCAGCCGCGGUAAUACGGAGGGUGCGAGCGUUAAUCGGAAUUACUGGGCGUAAAGCGCGCGUAGGCGGUCUGAUAAGCCGGUUGUGAAAGCCCCGGGCUCAACCUGGGAACGGCAUCCGGAACUGGCAGGCUAGAGUGCAGGAGAGGAAGGUAGAAUUCCCGGUGUAGCAGUGAAAUGCGUAGAGAUCGGGAGGAAUGCCAGUGGCGAAGGCGGCCUUCUGGACUGACACUGACGCUGAGGUGCGAAAGCGUGGGUAGCAAACAGGAUUAGAUACCCGGGUAGUC
RNAcentral lists this ribosomal RNA (465 nucleotides) under Vreelandella stevensii. Its description in RNAcentral is "partial 16S ribosomal RNA". It matches the Rfam family "Bacterial small subunit ribosomal RNA", at positions 338 to 795 of the family's 1533-position model. The record is from RNAcentral. Lineage: Bacteria; Pseudomonadati; Pseudomonadota; Gammaproteobacteria; Oceanospirillales; Halomonadaceae.